UUUCGCCAGGUUUGGCCGAACAUCGGCAAAAAGUUUGAGUUCGGUCUCGAGUUCGGCACAAGUUAGAAUGUGGGCAACUCAGCAGUCGUUGUGCAGGCACUUUGGUGCGCCUACCAUAGUGACCACGGGUAAAGGGGAAUCAGGGUUUGAUAUCGGAGAGGGAGCCUGAGAAACGGCUACCACAUCCAAGGAAGGCAGCAGGCACGCAAAUUAUCCACUCCCGAUGUGGGGAGGUAGUGAUGAAA
Non-coding RNA from Pelobates cultripes (western spadefoot toad), 245 nucleotides. NCBI's taxonomy places the organism in Eukaryota, Metazoa, Chordata, Amphibia, Anura, Pelobatidae. The record is from the annotation of a GenBank genome assembly.